This is a long non-coding RNA of Motacilla alba alba, 2385 nucleotides long. RefSeq lists it as uncharacterized. The transcript is spliced from 5 exons. The record is from RefSeq and is a predicted model, not a curated record. Lineage: Eukaryota; Metazoa; Chordata; Aves; Passeriformes; Motacillidae.
GCGGCGGGGGGAGCGGUCCCGACGCCUGGACGCGGGUCCCGGGGCGGGGCCGGGCAGGGUCCCCAGGCCAACCCCCGCUGCCCCCACCCCGGCACGCCAGGCCGGGAAACCGGGAGCUGCCGGCCCCCGCCUCGGGACCGCUGGAAGGGGCCGCCCGGGUGGGGAAAGGGGGGAAGUACGGUCCUGGGAGCCCACAGAUACCCCGCGAAAUUGUCCCGUCUGGGCCAAGAUGGGCUAGCAAGGACAGAACUUAGUGGUUCUGGACCUUGUCCCACUAAAGGAGCACAGAGAGAGACCAGCUGCAGCUGAGCAAGAGAAUCACAACCUGAGGGGAAGCAGCUGUUGGCCAUGCUUUUGCCCUGCAGCUGACUGGGUUGCAGUGCCCAAGGUUGAAUGCUAACUCCUACGCCUCUCUGCCCUUCCCUGGGGAAGGAUAAGGAAGGUUUUGUUUCUCCUUUGACAUUCACCAUGGCAAACACAGCUCAGCAGAGUGGUGUAAAGACACAUAUGAGGUGAUAAUCAUGGAAACUGUGACUGCCAUGGAAAACCAGGCUGCUGGCUGCCACUGUGAUUGCCAUGGAAGACCAGGCUGCCAAUGCUUCACUGGUCAGCACUGCCCAUGGAAUUCAUAAAGCAUCUCUGUUGCCUGUGUUUGCUGUUUUGAUGAGACGCUCCAGUGUUCCCCCAGCUGCUGUUGGGUGAACAGUGGGAAGGACACAGGAAAGAAGGCUGUUCCAGGGAGUCCUCUUGUGAAAUCCAAAGAGAGAACGCUUCUCCUGCAGAGCUGGCUGCGGCUGCAAAACCAGAGCCUGCAGGGGCCUCUGGCUGGCCUCCAGGGAUUGCCAAACAGAGAUUCCCCACGUGCCCCACUUAUGCAAAGCACAGAACCGGGCGCCAGGAGGGCGAGGUGACGUGGAAGGAAUUUGUGUGCUGUAGGCACGACAAAACCGAGCAUCAAAACCAGCCGGGCUCUGGUGCUGGCCCAGUCCAACUGGUUGGGAGGGGAGGCAGCUGCAAAGCGAGUCAUGUGUGCAGGAAAGUCCCUCACUUGGCUGCAGCUUGCCGAGCUCUUCCUACUCACUUUCUCUUCUCAGAGCAUGCGCCUCCCAGAAAAUGGGGCUAAAAACCAAGUCUGGGCUGGGGAAGGCCUGCUUCUCCCUCAGCUGCAGCCAAGUGACUCAGCUGUAUGUCAGUACGGACAAGCCAUGAUCCUUCCUGAGAAGCCCCAUCUGGUACUUUAUCUGGGAGGUUUAUCUGCAGGAAAACCCCCAAAUCUCAGCAGAAGCUCAGCAAAAGCAGAAGGUGCUGGGCAGACAGCGGCUGCAGCUCAUGCCCUCAGUGCCAGUGUCACAUCUGUGAGCUGGACCUGGUCCCAACAGGCUGAGAUAUCCUUUGGAGUUUCCCACCCUUCCAAACAUUCACAGCAGACAGCUGGUGCUUGAACUCUUCAUGCUGCUUUAUUUUGUUUAAUCCCAUUUUUAAGUGAGGAAAUUAGCAGGCAGUGUGGCAAGACCAGGAAAGCUAAGUCACGGAGACAAUUUGUUAAUGCCAAAUAUUAUAUGCUGUGUGCUUGAGAGAGGGGGGAAAAAAAAAAAAAAGGUCCCAAAUCAAUGGGAAUUGGCAAAUCUCCAGGAAAACCUGGGCUAGCCUGAAAUGAUAACAGACUGGGGGUAGAACCUGCUAGCUCCAAGCUACUCCUUCCUUCCCCCUGUCCUUCAGCUCCCAGAAAAAAACACCCUGCCUGCUGAAAUAGCUCUCCUGUUCCAGACAGUCUUACUUAACCUCCUGUUAAAUAUCCUUCACAAAGCUCUUUUUCUCGGUGUGUGUUUUCCCAGGUUAGUAGCUGGCUGCUGGUUGGAAGGUUGAGGUGCCUCGUCAACACUUUAUGAGCACUCAUGAGAUAAGGGCAGCACGCUGAGCCCUGCCUAGGCAAGGUGGCUUUAGAGCCAGAGUAAAGGUUGCUUGUUUAGUCUGGCCAAAACUGGGGGUGGCUUUCUGCCUCCUGAUUCAGACUGGGUGCACCUGGCUCCAGUUUGGGAAUUACCUAAGAACCUGGCUCCCGAUGGGGGUGAUAGCAGAGGCUCUGGAGGCUUCAAAUGAAACCGUGUUCUCUUGUGGAGGGGCAGAGGCCCUGUGUAAGCAUCAAGUUCUCCUGAUGUGGUUAGUGAAGAAAAUCACGGGAACUUCUUAGCUGGGCUUUUAAAAGGGUCUUACAAGGAAAGGAGAAAUGGGUGUUCUGCUGCUUGGUAUAGCCUGGCAAAGUGAAACAGAACAGAUCCACUUCCUCCUAACCUCUAUGCUGCAAGCAAGCCUUGAAUGUCAUCAACAAGUGUGGUCCCUCAAAAAUGAACAUGUAGGUAAGGACCUAAUAAGGUAAAAACAUGU